UGCUUCUCACCGGCGACGAGUGGCGAACGGGUGAGUAAUACAUCGGAACGUGUCCGCUCGUGGGGGACAACCAGCCGAAAGGUUGGCUAAUACCGCAUGAGUUCUACGGAAGAAAGAGGGGGACCCGCAAGGGCCUCUCGCGAGCGGAGCGGCCGAUGACUGAUUAGCCGGUUGGUGAGGUAACGGCUCACCAAAGCAACGAUCAGUAGCUGGUCUGAGAGGACGACCAGCCACACUGGGACUGAGACACGGCCCAGACUCCUACGGGAGGCAGCAGUGGGGAAUUUUGGACAAUGGGCGCAAGCCUGAUCCAGCUAUUCCGCGUGUGGGAUGAAGGCCCUCGGGUUGUAAACCACUUUUGUAGAGAACGAAAAGACACCUUCGAAUAAAGGGUGUUGCUGACGGUACUCUAAGAAUAAGCACCGGCUAACUACGUGCCAGCAGCCGCGGUAAUACGUAGGGUGCGAGCGUUAAUCGGAAUUACUGGGCGUAAAGGGUGCGCAGGCGGUUGAGUAAGACAGAUGUGAAAUCCCCGAGCUUAACUCGGGAAUGGCAUAUGUGACUGCUCGACUAGAG
RNAcentral lists this ribosomal RNA (576 nucleotides) under uncultured beta proteobacterium. Its description in RNAcentral is "bacterial SSU rRNA". It matches the Rfam family "Bacterial small subunit ribosomal RNA", at positions 75 to 646 of the family's 1533-position model. Lineage: Bacteria; Pseudomonadati; Pseudomonadota; Betaproteobacteria. The record is from RNAcentral.